This 456-nucleotide ribosomal RNA is filed under the name uncultured bacterium. Its description in RNAcentral is "bacterial SSU rRNA". It matches the Rfam family "Bacterial small subunit ribosomal RNA", at positions 29 to 479 of the family's 1533-position model. The record is from RNAcentral.
AAUGAACGCUGGCGGCGCGCCUAAUACAUGCAAGUCGAGCGAGAAGACGUAGCAAUACGUUUGUAAAGCGGCGAACGGGUGAGGAAUACAUGGGUAACCUACCCUCGAGUGGGGAAUAACUAGCCGAAAGGUUAGCUAAUACCGCGUACGCUCCUUGGACUUCGGUUCAGGGAGGAAAGCGAUACCGUGGGUAUCGCGCUCUUGGUUGGGCUCAUGUCCUAUCAGCUUGUUGGUGAGGAACGGCUCACCAAGGCUUCGACGGGUAGCUGGUCUGAGAGGACGAUCAGCCACGCUGGCACUGCGACACGGGCCAGACUCCUACGGGAGGCAGCAGUAAGGAAUAUUGCGCAAUGGGCGAAAGCCUGACGCAGCGACGCCGCGUGGGGGAUGAAGGUCUUCGGAUUGUAAACCCCUUUCGGGAGGGAAGAUGGAACGAGCAAUCGUUCGGACGGUACC